UCCACCAAAUUUGUUGGAAAAAAAUAAACAAUCACAUUUGUAUUUAUGUGUCAGGCACCAGAAUAAGUGUGUUAGGAGCAGAACUUCAGGGACAUCCAGGAACACCGGAAGCAGCCCCCUUCUAGAGAGGAAGACGCUGAGGCAGAGACAGGCCCAGGCAGCUGUCAAGACUGGAAUCCAGACGAACCCGAGAACCAACCUACCGUCUUCCUUCAAUUCCUCAAAGGCCCCCUGCACUCCCCCGCCCGGAGACCUCUGCACUGGCAGCUGCUUCAGCCUCCUCCCUUAGCUGAGGCCAAGUUCAUCCUUCAAGUGACAUUUCCUCCUCAGGAAAACCUGCUCGGUGUGCCCCACCCAGGGCGGGUCCCCAUUACACGCUCUGGCAGCCCAGCUUACUACAGUUCAGUCAGUCAGUCGGUCAACCAGCAUUUACUUUACGGAGAGACCACCACACCCGAUCCUUGAGAACACAGCAAGGGGCAGGGCAAGGCCCCGUGGUUCUACCCCUGCCCCCAUGCCCUGAGGCUACGAUAUGCCAGGAGGCGAAAGAAACCAACAGACCCACAUGUCAUCAUUUUUGCAGAAAAGAAUAAAAGUGUUCCAAGGUCAACUAAAAAGUCCAACAGUACCAAACGUUGGCAAGGAGGUGGAGCAACUAAGAUCCUCAGUCACCACUGCCAGGAGGAUACACAGAUAUGACCACCUUGGGAGGCUGUGCGGCAGCAUCUGCUAAAUCCGAAGCUACCCUACCCUCUGCCCUGGGCUAUGCACUCCCGGGUACAUUCCCUGAAGAAACGCACGCACUGGCACCCCAGGAGAUGCUACAAAGAGAUGGCUCACACCAGCGCAGCGGGAGAUGGAGAAACAGAAGAUUAUAUGGGGCUGGGCGCGGUGGCUCACGCCUAUAAUCCCAACACUUUGGGAAGCUGAGGCGGGUGGAUCACCUGAGGUCAGGAGUUCAAGACUAGCCUGGCCAACAUGGUGAAACCCCAUCUCUAAUAAAAAUUAAAAAAAAAAAAAUUAGCCAGGCAUAGUGGUGUACGCCCGUAAUCCCAGUUACUCGGGAGGCUGAGGCAGGGGAAUUGCUUGAACCCAGGAGGCGGAGAAUGCAGUCAGCCAAGACUGCGCCACUGUACUCCAGCCUGGGCGACAGAGCGAGACUCUGCAUCAAACAAAAAAAAAAAACAGAAUAUUAUACGGCAACAAAGAUGAAUGACUACAGAUACACUCAGCACACAGAUGGAUCUCACAGACCUAAGGGCGAAAGCAAGCACAGACAAGGACAUACUGGAAGAUUCCAUUUAUGUCGAGUUCAAAAGCAGGCAAGAUAACAUUCUGUAAUUCAAGGAUGCACACCUCAUGGUAAAAGCUAUCAGGAAAAGCAAGGACACAGUGACCCCCAAGGUCAGGAGAGCGCUCAUGACUGUGGUCGUGAUGGACAGGGGUAUGGAGGGGCGGCUUCUGGGAGGUUGUGUGGUCUUUACCGAAGUGGUGGGGAAGUGUUGUUCGCUUUGUAAUUCUUUGGUAAACUUACCUUUGCAUUUCAAGCACUUUUCUGUGGGCAAAUUAUAAUUGACAAUUAUUAAAGAUUUUUUAAAAGCAGUGGA
This is a long non-coding RNA of Macaca mulatta (Rhesus monkey), 1607 nucleotides long. RefSeq lists it as uncharacterized. The record is from RefSeq and is a predicted model, not a curated record. Lineage: Eukaryota; Metazoa; Chordata; Mammalia; Primates; Cercopithecidae.